CCUACGGGAGGCAGCAGUAGGGAAUAUUGCUCAAUGGGGGAAACCCUGACGCAGCAACGCCGCGUGGAGGAUGAAGGUUUUCGGAUUGUAAACUCCUUUUGUUAGAGAAGAUAAUGACGGUAUCUAACGAAUAAGCACCGGCUAACUCCGUGCCAGCAGCCGCGGUAAUACGGAGGGUGCAAGCGUUACUCGGAAUCACUGGGCGUAAAGAGCGCGUAGGCGGGAUAGCAAGUCAGAUGUGAAAUCCCAUGGCUUAACCAUAGAACUGCAUUUGAAACUGUCAUUCUAGAGUGUGGGAGAGGUAUGUGGAAUUCGUGGUGUAGGGGUGAAAUCCGUAGAGAUCAAGAGGAAUACCGAUUGCGAAGGCGACCUACUGGGACGUAACUGACGCUGAUGCGCGAAAGCGUGGGGAGCAAACAGGAUUAGAUACCCCGGUAGUC
This 440-nucleotide ribosomal RNA is filed under the name uncultured bacterium. Its description in RNAcentral is "partial 16S ribosomal RNA". It matches the Rfam family "Bacterial small subunit ribosomal RNA", at positions 338 to 795 of the family's 1533-position model. The record is from RNAcentral.